UACGAAGGGGGCUAGCGUUGCUCGGAAUCACUGGGCGUAAAGCGCACGUAGGCGGAUUGCUAAGUCAGGGGUGAAAUCCUGGAGCUCAACUCCAGAACUGCCUUUGAUACUGGCGAUCUUGAGUCCGGGAGAGGUGAGUGGAACUGCGAGUGUAGAGGUGAAAUUCGUAGAUAUUCGCAAGAACACCAGUGGCGAAGGCGGCGCUCUGGGCCGGUACUGACACUGAGGCGCGAAAGCGUGGGGAGCAAACAGG
This 253-nucleotide ribosomal RNA is filed under the name uncultured bacterium. RNAcentral describes it as "partial 16S ribosomal RNA". It matches the Rfam family "Bacterial small subunit ribosomal RNA", at positions 524 to 776 of the family's 1533-position model. The record is from RNAcentral.